Molecule: long non-coding RNA, 839 nt
Filed under: Rattus norvegicus (Norway rat)
Lineage: Eukaryota; Metazoa; Chordata; Mammalia; Rodentia; Muridae
Description: long non-coding RNA NONRATT024914
Source: RNAcentral
GGGGAGGGCGGCAAUGGGGGGAGGGUUGGGAGGGGAACACCCAUAAGGAAGGGGAGGGGGGAGGGGGAUGUUUGUCUGGAAACCGGGAAAGGGAAUAACACUUGAAGUGUAUAUAAGAAAUACUCAAGUUAAUAAAAAAAAAAAAAAAAGAAUCGACAAAUGGGAUCUCAUAAAACUGCAAAGCUUCUGUAAGGCAAAGAACACUGUGGUUAGGACAAAACGGCAACCAACAGAUUGGGAAAAGAUCUUUACCAAUCCUACAACAGAUAGAGGCCUUAUAUCCAGAAUAUACAAAGAACUCAAGAAGUUGGACCGCAGGGAAACAAAUAACCCUAUUAAAAAUGGGGUUCUGAGCUAAACAAAGAGUUCACAGCUGAGGAAUGCUGAAUGGCUGAGAAACACCUAAAGAAAUGUUCAACAUCUUUAGUCAUAAGGGAAAUGCAAAUCAAAACAACCCUGAGAUUUCACCUCACACCAGUGAGAAUGGCUAAGAUCAAAAACUCAGGUGACAGCAAAUGCUGGCGAGGAUGUGGAGAAAGAGGAACACUCCUCCAUUGUUGGUGUGAUUGCAGACUGGUAAGACCAUUCUGGAAAUCAGUCUGGAGGUUCCUCAGAAAAUUGGACAUUGAACUACCUGAGGAUCCAGCUAUACCUCUCUUGGGCAUAUACCCACAAGAUACCCCAACAUAUAAAAAAGACACGUGCUCCACUAUGUUCAUAGCAGCCUUAUUUAUAAUAGCCAGAAGCUGGAAAGAACCCAGAUGUUCUUCAACAGAGGAAUGGAUACAGAAAAUGUGGUACAUCUACACAAUGGAAUAUUACUCAGCUAUCAAAAAAAA